RNAcentral lists this ribosomal RNA (474 nucleotides) under uncultured organism. RNAcentral's name for it is "partial 16S ribosomal RNA". It matches the Rfam family "Bacterial small subunit ribosomal RNA", at positions 334 to 799 of the family's 1533-position model. The record is from RNAcentral.
CACUCCUGCGGGAGGCAGCAGUGGGGAAUUUUGGACAAUGGGCGAAAGCCUGAUCCAGCAAUGCCGCGUGUGUGAAGAAGGCCUUCGGGUUGUAAAGCACUUUUGUCCGGAAAGAAAUCCUUGGCUCUAAUACAGUCGGGGGAUGACGGUACCGGAAGAAUAAGCACCGGCUAACUACGUGCCAGCAGCCGCGGUAAUACGUAGGGUGCGAGCGUUAAUCGGAAUUACUGGGCGUAAAGCGUGCGCAGGCGGUUUGCUAAGACCGAUGUGAAAUCCCCGGGCUCAACCUGGGAACUGCAUUGGUGACUGGCAGGCUAGAGUAUGGCAGAGGGGGGUAGAAUUCCACGUGUAGCAGUGAAAUGCGUAGAGAUGUGGAGGAAGACCGAUGGCGAAGGCAGCCCCCUGGGCCAAUACUGACGCUCAUGCACGAAAGCGUGGGGAGCAAACAGGAUUAGAAACCCCGGUAGUCCCAUG